This 253-nucleotide ribosomal RNA is filed under the name uncultured bacterium. Its description in RNAcentral is "partial 16S ribosomal RNA". It matches the Rfam family "Bacterial small subunit ribosomal RNA", at positions 524 to 776 of the family's 1533-position model. The record is from RNAcentral.
UACGUAGGGGGCAAGCGUUGUCCGGAAUCACUGGGCGUAAAGCGCGCGCAGGCGGCCAUUUGCGUCCGGGGUGAAAGCCCAAGGCUCAACCUUGGGAUUGCCUUGGAUACGGGAUGGCUUGAGGAUCGGAGAGGCAAGGGGAAUUCCACGUGUAGCGGUGAAAUGCGUAGAGAUGUGGAGGAACACCUGUGGCGAAGGCGCCUUGCUGGCCGAUUACUGACGCUGAGGCGCGAAAGCGUGGGGAGCAAACAGG